This is a long non-coding RNA of Oreochromis aureus, 1742 nucleotides long. NCBI's taxonomy places the organism in Eukaryota, Metazoa, Chordata, Actinopteri, Cichliformes, Cichlidae. The record is from Ensembl.
UGAAAUUCUGGAAGACCUAAACGUCAAGUCAUCGGCAAAGUUCUGCAUUUUCUGACAUGUUAGAGACAAUCGAUUAUUAGCCUGAACGCGUAGUUUUUUAGAUGACUGCUCUGCGUUUAAUUUGACUCUUGAGCGACUGUCAGCUCAACAUUUCUUUUAACUAAAGGCCCUCUUCAUGUGUCCUGCUGUUGCUAUGCAACUGCAAAUCUAUUUGAAGCAUGGUGCUUAGCUGCCAAAAGCGGACACAUUUUUUUAAACAUCAUCUGCAUCCCAGUAAAGCACAACAGCCCCACAGAAAUAAAAGUUAAGAUAUUAAUAGUUGCACUAAGAGGAUGGCGGGAGAGAUACACACAGGUAGAUAUACAAUGCAGGAUGGAUUCAACUAUAUAGCUUCGUACAGUGUUUGUAACUUGAGAUGCUUGAAAGGCUUUAGCACACUUCAAUUCAAUACUUAAGCAAUUCUGCCAGUGUCUAUCAUAUAUCAUUAGCUCAUUUGACAUUUGCUUUUAUCAAGCAUGACAGACUAGAAGCUAUGCGAGCUGUGACAUCAUCUGCCACCUCACUGAUGGGCAUGCAUCUCUCUCCAACUGAUAUUUUGCUUUGGAAGCAACAACCCCUUGAGACGCUGCACCCCCAUGUGGGGACAUGACAUUUUUGGAUUUUCUGCGUCUUAUACAUUAUUAAGCAAUGCUGACCUUAUUGUGUUCGUCUCUAAAAUAAAGCCAUUGUCCCCCAUACGAGGACAUACUUUUAAGUUUCCAACAACUACGUACCAAAGCAAAGACUACCUACUUAAAGAUAUAUUAGUUUAUAUAUUUGUGUUCCAACCAAUCACAAAUAUGUAGUAGAGAUGAAAAUGCAAACCAAACAAGUGCUCAGGUCACGAGAGGUUAAGAUAUGAGCACAAGCCUCUUUCACUCUUAAGAAUUACUAUUGCUGAAAAGAGUCGAUAGAGAUCAUUACUCCUGGGCUUUGAGUGGUGUUCAGUGUCCCAGGCAUGCUCUGCAUUAUCAGACAUAACCAGCUGAGAUUUGAUUACAGAACGAUAAUUUCAUUCAUCUUCUUGUUUAACAGUAGAUGUAACAUAAACACUACACUGUGCAUUAUUACAGACUGGAAAAUUAUUUUCCAUUUGAAAUCUGUGUUCAGGGAUCAUUUUCAGGUGAAACCCUCCCAGAUUUCCUGGAGCUCAAACCUCUUCUGUUAGGGAAGACCCUGUUGUCGUGGCAACAUUCUUCAAAACACUCCCAAUUCCUCUGGGCUUGUCCGAGCAAGAUGACGCCAGUGCUGGGAGCACAUGCCAGUGUCUCUCAACUCCCAACAGCCCUUGUUAGUAAAUAGCCUAGAGACCCAGCGAAUGCAAGCGAGCGAUCUGCAUCUUUCCUGCUUCAAUUCCCCCAUUCGGCGUAAGUGUGUGAGAUUGCCAUGUGCAGCAGGAGUGUGUGCAGAAGCAGAUAAGGACAGUCGUCACAAUCCACCACUAGUACUUCAACUUUGGGAGGAGUUUGGAGGGGCACCCACUCUCACCAAGAUGGCUCUAGGUUCAAUAACAACAACAGCAGCAGCAGCGGCAGCGCAUGGUGGGGGCCCUCCUGGAGAGCACACAUAGACCCUACAGACAGCAUCUGUUUAUGAAUGGGCCAACAAUUGCCCAUCCCCCCCGGCGGCUACAGCUGACAGAGGGAGGAGGCGCGACAAGUCACCGAAUCAGAAGAAGAGAUAAAGAAGAACAGGCAGUCAGA